RNAcentral lists this ribosomal RNA (409 nucleotides) under Nostoc sp. HG1. RNAcentral describes it as "bacterial SSU rRNA". It matches the Rfam family "Bacterial small subunit ribosomal RNA", at positions 11 to 448 of the family's 1533-position model. The record is from RNAcentral. Lineage: Bacteria; Bacillati; Cyanobacteriota; Cyanophyceae; Nostocales; Nostocaceae.
GUUUGAUCCUGGCUCAGAACGAACGCCUGGCGGCAUGCUUAACACAUGCAAGUCGAACGAGACCUUCGGGUCUAGCGGCGCACGGGUGCGUAACGCGUGGGAAUCUGCCCUUGGGUUCGGAAUAACUGGGAGAAAUUCCAGCUAAUACCGGAUGAUGACGAAAGUCCAAAGAUUUAUCGCCUGAGGAUGAGCCCGCGUAGGAUUAGGUAGUUGGUGGGGUAAAGGCUCACCAAGCCGACGAUCCUUAGCUGGUCUGAGAGGAUGAUCAGCCACACUGGGACUGAGACACGGCCCAGACUCCUACGGGAGGCAGCAGUGGGGAAUUUCCGCAAUGGGCGAAAGCCUGACGGAGCAAGACCGCGUGAGGGAAGAAGGUCUGUGGAUUGUAAACCUCUUUUGAUAGGGAAGA